ACGGAGGAUCCAAGCGUUAUCCGGAUUUAUUGGGUUUAAAGGGAGCGUAGGCGGCCCAUUAAGUCAGAGGUGAAAGACGGUAGCUCAACUAUCGCAGUGCCUUUGAUACUGAUGGGCUUGAAUACAGAUGAGGUAGGCGGAAUGUGACAAGUAGCGGUGAAAUGCAUAGAUAUGUCACAGAACACCGAUUGCGAAGGCAGCUUACUAAACUGUGAUUGACGCUGAGGCUCGAAAGCGUGGGGAUCAAACAGGAUUAGAUACCCUGGUAGUCCACGCCCUAAACGAUGAUAACUCGAUGUUGGCGAUACACAGUCAGCGUCCAAGCGAAAGCGUUAAGUUAUCCACCUGGGGAGUACGCCCGCAAGGGUG
Molecule: ribosomal RNA, 369 nt
Filed under: uncultured bacterium
Lineage: Bacteria
Description: bacterial SSU rRNA
Rfam family: Bacterial small subunit ribosomal RNA
Source: RNAcentral